AAAUUGAACUAGAGAAGGAAAUGGCAAAGCACUCCAGUAUUUCCUCCAAGGAACCCCCCCAUGGGGUCACAAAGAGUCAGACAUGGCCGAGAUAACCAAACGAUAACAAAGAGUCCACGUCGGGUCACAUUCAGCCCUGGAAAGUACCGAGUGAAAGUUGCUUCCUCUCCCUUAUAGAGAUUACAUUCUCUUUUAAAGAAGUAAAUGUUUGUUUUUAUCACUCCAUAUUUCCCUCUCGUAGAGAACCAUCACCUACAACAGAGAAUGAAAAAGAUCCGAAAAAACAGUUCAGCCAAACCGGGGAAAUGGCGCCGGCCCCCCCACGCCUGGGCAGCUGGGCGCUCGGCGGCUGGCAGAGAGCUUUCUCCCUGGGAUUACCCAGAAGGCCCCUCCAGGUUAUUCCCGGGGGAGGAUGCUAGACAGAAGCCGCUAGAAUGGGACUCUCAGCUUCCUCCUUUGCGGCUCCUGCCGGAUCUACGCCACGUUCUCUUGGUGUCUGUGGAAGCCGAGUCAGGACACGGCUGAACACCAGAGGAAGGGGGUUCUUUCCUCCUGGGUUUCUCAGCACUGCCCAAAUGUCCCCAGAAAAGGCAAAGGAUUCUGCAUUUCCUCUUGCCAUCUGCAGCAUAAUUCUAACUGGCGUUUAGCUAGUGAGCCUCACAUGUGUGAAGAUGUCCCGCUCUCGUGCCAUUUUACAGAGCAGGAAAUCAGAGUCCUUGCCCAGGGUCGCCCAGGUAAGAGGUAGGAAGUAGGGUCUUUCAGACUCCCAGACCUGCUCUCCCCACUGCCCCCAGUCCGGCACCCUCCGCCCGGUGAGCUUCCCUGCACGAGCAGCCCGCCUUUCUUGGUUCAUUUUUGCACCACCUUUAUUUCCGAAUAUAUCCUUCUCCUACCCAACAAGCCCUUCCUUGUAACAAAGAAUGUUUUUUUUUUUAAAUAACACAAUUAACUGAUUUGUUCUCUCACUUCUGCAAAGAAAAGAGGGAAGUACCUUUUCUCAUCUCUUCCCCCGGGCCAAGUUUGCUCGUUAUAAUUACAUUUGUUCGUGUAUUUCUUCGAUGAUAUUCUUCGUAUCGCUUCUUCUCCAUAAUUGAGCCAUUGGCUCGCAGGAGUGGAGCGUGAAGGCAGGGAAGAGGCCCUCAGCUCCAGGCCUUUUGUUUUUCGGGGGAGGAAAGGGAACUCCUUGGCCCAGGGUCCCAGCGGCCUUUGUAAGGAGGGGCCGCCCUCCCUGGGCCCCUGCACCGCCUUCUGGGUCACUCACCGUGUCAGUCUCCUGUGCUCCAUGACUCAGGCCUAACACGCGUUCUCUGUCUCUGCCCCACUUGCCCCCCAGAAGCAGCCACGGUCCGGCCUCCGCCCUGGCACCCGCCCGGCCCGGUGUGGCAGCUGGUGUUGUGAAUCAGGCCGUCGCCAGUCUGAGAACGGCUACUUCACAACACCAGGGUCACCCCCUGCCAAAGUCGUCGACCGGGAGCCGAAGGUGCCGUCUGCGAGGGACGAGGAUGCGGCCCUGGGUUCCUGCCCGGCUUCGCCCGGACACCUCCAGCUCCUGCACCCGGAGCACGGGAACAAGGCUGGCCACUCUCUGCUGGUCCCCAAAGCCUUCCGCGUUUAAGUAAGAACAUGAGUGGCUCCGGCGGCCUCGGGGGGAAAUGGCCCCCUGGAAGGGGAAAGCACAGCAAGCUUCGGGCGGGGGGGAGGGGGAGCUCUUAAAUAUGGGUGCAAGGGACCAAACAAGGGUCGUUCAUACUGGGGCGGUCACAGGGAGACGGGAAAAGACAAGGGGCAAACUGUGACUCGGUUUCCCCAUUUGUCGAAGGAAGCCCUUACUCCGGAGCUGGUCGUCCAGUCCGACAGCCUCCUCUCCCUCGUUCCUGAGGGACAGGACAUUUAAAUAUAUCUGAGCCAAGAUUUUUCCUGGGGGCUCUGUCUAGUGCUCAGCAUGCCACCUGGCAUGCAGCAUGUGCUUAAUAAGUGCUCGUGGCAGUUCCAAAUCCCAUCACACGCAUACGCCAGCCCCGUUCCCAGGCCAGGACCCCUCCCAAAUCCCAGCUGGUGCUCCCAACUAUUGGGGUCAAGGAAGUGAGUUACCGGGAUGGGAAUCAGCCCUUCUCUGCCAGCUGCGACCCGGAAAUAGUCAGUUUGCUGACGGAUGGGCUGUCACUGCCUCUGGGCUCCGGCCCCGAGUGAUGGACCGAACCAGGACCUGGACUCGGCCCUCCAUGGUUCUGCUGUUUUCCUGCCAGCCCUAAAUUUUAGGGGCUUCUCUGCUGCCAUUUUGGAUGAGACAAAGCCGUUCCCUGAGCAAACCCCAGCCCAGGAGGUUUCUGAGAAAGACCGAAGGUGCUCUCUCCCCUAGCUCGCUGCAAUGAGAUAAUAGCAUUGUCCUGAUGAACGAAGCAUUUAUUAAGCACUUAGUGUAUGCAGAGCACCCAGCUGAAGUGGGGAUUUUACAAAGUGAAAAGUAAGGCCGUCACGAGCCGUGUAGCAGGGGAGAGAGGAGGCCGGAGCUCAGGUCCCACGGUCAGCUCUCAUCUCCUGUGCCAUUGCCUCUGAUGAGGGCAUUUCUGCCUCUGCGGGGGGGCCGAGGACCAGAACCUUCCUUUCUGGGCCCUGGGAAGCUGUGGCGAUUCCCCGGUCUGGCUGCCAGGAUGGCCCUGGCCCGGGCUGGGCUUGCGGCGACUCCUCCGGCUUUUGCAUCCAUCGUCUGAGCCGUUCCCCAGGGUCCGAGGGAAGAUGCUGCCCCGUCUCUCUCCCAGGGGCCUCGCUGCUUCAGCAAAGCUGCUGUUUGUGUGCGAUCAGUGGGGUGAAGGGGACUUUCGGCCUGGCCGGUCUCCCGGUUUCUGGGACUCUCAUGUCUGUCUGCAGAAUGUCCUGGAGAAUGUCCUUCUACGUCUUAUACUAGCACUUCAUGCCAUAAAAAGCUCGAUGCCGGGCCAGCCACCCCAGGGCUCCACCAGGGGCUUAUCAGGUCAGAAGUCUGGGAGACCAGUCACCGAUCCACCAGUCAAGCAUUUAUUAAGCACCGGGCCAGGCACCGCGCUAGGCAUCUCCGGGCGGCCUGGAAAAGCACUGCGGGAAGAGCCUCUCUGAGAAGACAUCCAGCUUCUGUCAGCCCAGGUGCUCAGAGGGAGAGCCCGGGGGCUCAGGGACGGGGGAGUGGGCGAGGAGAAGCCUCUUCUGACACAGCAGCCAUCUUAGAAGGCGGAGGAGCGUAUUGAGAAGGGUCCGAUUAAAUAGGUCGGGGGAAUGUAAUCAAUGAUGCAGGGAGAGGGCAGCCCCCCUGAGACCAGGAGGAAGCCCCAGGGAUGGGAGAGGGAGGGAGGGAGGGAGGGACCGCUGCCCAGUCAGUCCAAGAAAACCAUGAGUGCGACAAAAAGCCAGAGCAGGCUGGGCCUAGAGGGUGGGCCGGCGGCAGGCCUGGAGCCUCCCCCCGAGAUCUGGGGUACACCUGGCCGGGAGAAGGCCGCAGGGCCAGAGCGAGUCUGGGGUUCGGUCCUCGGGCAGGAUCCCCAUUCUCGGCCUUUUCCCUAACGGAGGCCUUUGUGCCAAGGUUCGGGCCGGGUCAGAGGAGCCGGACACUCCGACGUAUCCAGGUGGCUCCUCAAUGUCCCAGGUAUGAGUCAAAGUAGUCAGGGGGCCCGAAUUCAAAUCCUUCCAUCAGGUCAGCGUCCCCAGGCCUCGAGGAUCUGGGGGUCUCCUCCAGUUCAAUUCGAUUGUCUUUUUCUCUGUGUCCCCCUUCUUUUCUGUUUCAAUUAUUGGUUUCUGAGAAAAAUGAUUAGUGACUGAAUAUGGGAUUUCAUAGAAAUUGCUGAGGAACCUGCUGUGGGCCAGGCCCUGGGAUCGCUCUGGGUGUGUGUGUGUGUGUGUGUGUGUGUGUGUGUGUGUGUGUGUGUAUGUGGCGUUCAAGGCUCUCUCUUCUCCAACAUUUCAUUCUCCCCACAUAGUUGGGCUCGCGGGGCUCUCACCGCCCCCCUUGCCCCCAGGCCUUGGCGCUUUCUCAACAGCAUCCUGCUUCCAAAACACUGGCUCGCUGCAUUAUUGGCUGCAAGUCGUGUACGUGGAGAGACUCAGGCCGCCGAGGGAGGGACCUGAGGCCAAGAAGAUGAGUUCGAGUCCAGCCCCAGACGCUUCCUGGCCCUGCGACUCUGGACAAUUCACUGACGUUCUGCCCACCUCAGUUUCCUUCCCUGAUGUUCCCCGUUGCUCCUGCUCGAUUUGCUGUUCCACACACAGACUGCAGAGCAUCCUUCCUCCAUGCCUCUGAGCGGCCUGUCUGCUGUGUCUAGUUCUUUAUCUCAUUUGAUCCUCAAAGCAACCCUGGAAGGUCCAUCUUGUUUCCCUGAAGGUGGAAGUUUUCACGUUUUGGGGAUUUUUUAUCUGCACGGCACAUUGUAAGCGCUUAAUAAAUGCUUGUUGGAUCAAAUGUACGCUCUGGUGUCAUCCUGGGCAGCCCCUUCCCUGUCCCGAGGCCCCGGUGAGCUCCCCUGGGAGAACCCUGGGUCCCACUGAUGCAAAGAAGCUGGGUUCAAAUCCCACCCUGGGCCAGUUGGGGCCUCAGUUUCCAAAUCUGUCAGAUGAGGGAGUAACUUAGAUGCCUCGGGGGGGGGGGGGUUGUAAGGUGGCUGGGAAAUAGAAGCCUCAGCGAAGGAUCUGCUCCCAUAAACAUCUCUCUUCCCUGGAGCCUCCAACAGCUGUUCCCGGAUGCUGCUGGGGACGUCGUGGCUGGGGCGGGAGGCCCAGUCCUGAGACCACAGCCUCGGGGCCCUGUGGGCACAAGCCUCAGUCUCCUGGAAAGGCCCAGCUGCAGCCCCUUCUGGAAGGCCGUCGGAGGCUCGAUCCCCGCCGUCAGCGGCGUCGGGCGGUCCUGAGUUAGUGCUGAUGGUGCCGAACACCACCCAGUGCUCCAGGCAGGGACCCCCCAGACGUCACUGGGGGCACCAACACCCUCGUUGCUGCCCUCGCUCCAAGCCAGGGAGCACAGGGAUGCUGGGGCCUCUCCCUCCCCAGCGGCAGCCGUGCCCCAGGAGGCAGGGAGACCCAAACUCAAACCCUGCCUCGGACACUUAAUGAUCCUGGCCAAAGCACCCAAGUCACCUUCAGAAUGGAGAGAACUGGGCCCCUGUGUCAGGACGAGCAAAUGAGCGAUGUAAGGGGAGCAUUUUCUGGCCUGGGAACCCAGGCAAAUGUUAGCUGCUGCUGCUGCUGCUAAAGCACGU
Long non-coding RNA from Sarcophilus harrisii (Tasmanian devil), 5219 nucleotides. RefSeq lists it as uncharacterized. The transcript has 4 exons. NCBI's taxonomy places the organism in Eukaryota, Metazoa, Chordata, Mammalia, Dasyuromorphia, Dasyuridae. The record is from RefSeq and is a predicted model, not a curated record.